GUCUUCCCCACCGCUGCCCAGAAAUCCCUGGCCGUGGACACCAGCUGAGGGUCGUUCUUUCCCUUUGAUGUUGUCGGAGAGUGACGGCGUGGAGGGCUGCAGCAGCACUCUGGAAAAGAAAAAAAAAGAUGGGAGCAGGAAAGCGAGGCCAGCAGGGAGCUCGGGAUCUUCUGCGAAAGUCCACAGCAAAUUUUAAGCGUGUAAAAGGGUUUUCCCUCCUUUGGAACUUCAUUGCCGCUAGACCUGGGGAACCUGCCCUGGUUGCUGUUCUCCAUCCGUGUCCGGCUGGUGCCGACGCAGGUGAGUCUUGCAGAGUUCAGACACCGCCUCGUAUUCUCGCUUCCCCAGCUCUGGCCAAAGACCACCCGGAGGAACGGAAAAUGCAUCGUGGUGCCACUAUCUGGGACUCCACCAGGGUCACCUUUAAGAUGUGACCGUCUUCCUUUUUUUUUUGCCAUAAACAGAAUGGAAGCACCCAGAAGUGUUUGUGGACACAGUUGGGGACAACACAUGGUGCUUCCGAACCUCACACGGUCGGGAAACCUCUUAUGGCACGCCGAGUGGUAAUGUGAUAUUGCUGCUGACCCCGGGGCUCUCAGGAAGGGAAACCCUCUAUUUUCAGUAGCCCAGCUACGCAAACAACACGGGAGGCCGGCUCCAUGCACAGACCGCAGACCCACCGCCAGGCCUGGCCGCCCGGGCACCGCCGCUUCUCCCGUCAUCUCGCCAGGCCGGUGGCCGGUCUCAAAAGGCGAAUCAAUUUAGUCCGCUG
RNAcentral lists this long non-coding RNA (772 nucleotides) under Microcebus murinus (gray mouse lemur). RNAcentral's name for it is "lncRNA (ENSMICG00000048502.1)". Lineage: Eukaryota; Metazoa; Chordata; Mammalia; Primates; Cheirogaleidae. The record is from RNAcentral.